This 253-nucleotide ribosomal RNA is filed under the name uncultured bacterium. RNAcentral describes it as "partial 16S ribosomal RNA". It matches the Rfam family "Bacterial small subunit ribosomal RNA", at positions 524 to 776 of the family's 1533-position model. The record is from RNAcentral.
UACGUAGGGGGCAAGCGUUGUCCGGAAUCAUUGGGCGUAAAGAGCGCGUAGGCGGUCCGGUAAGUCCGCUCUGAAAGUCCGGGGCUCAACCCCGGGAGGCGGGCGGAUACUGUCGGGCUAGAGUCCGGAAGAGGCGAGUGGAAUUCCUGGUGUAGCGGUGAAAUGCGCAGAUAUCAGGAGGAACACCGAUGGCGAAGGCAGCUCGCUGGGAUGGUACUGACGCUGAGGCGCGAAAGCGUGGGGAGCAAACAGG